Homo sapiens (human) is the source of this 1181-nucleotide long non-coding RNA. Ensembl annotates it as ANKRD62P1-PARP4P3 readthrough, transcribed pseudogene. Its record names the gene ANKRD62P1-PARP4P3. The record is from Ensembl. NCBI's taxonomy places the organism in Eukaryota, Metazoa, Chordata, Mammalia, Primates, Hominidae.
CCUGGAAACUGAGCUCCGUUAUGAAAGAGAGGCUCUCAAAGAAAAGACGUUGGGUAUAGAACACAUGCAAGGAGUCCUAAGCCGAACACAGUGUCCAUUGAAGGACAUUGAACACAUGUACCAAAAUGACCAACCUAUUUUGGAAAAAUAUGUGAGAAAGCAGCAGUCUAUAGAGGAUGGACUAUUUCAACUACAAAGCCAAAAUCUGUUGUAUCAACAGCAAUGUAAUGAUGCUCACAAGAAAGCUGACAAUCAGGAAAAAACAAUAAUUAAUAUCCAAGUCAAAUGUGAAGAUACUGUAGAAAAACUUCAAGCUGAGUGUAGAAAGCUAGAAGAGAACAAUAAGGGGUUGAUGAAGGAAUGCACUCUUUUAAAAGAAAGACAAUGCCAAUAUGAAAAAGAGAAAGAAAAAGGAGAAGUAGUCGUGAGAUAGCUUCAACGAGAAGUGGGUGAUGCCCUGAACAAACAUUUGCUGUCAGAAGCUAGGCUAGAGAUUUCAUCACAACGUCGUGUUAAUUUAGAAGAUGAGACACGAAGUUCAAAAAAGAAAUUAGGCCAGAGGAGAAGUCAAUUGCAAGAAAUGCAGGAUCAACGCACAGAGACUCUAAGAUGUGCUGAGGAGAUGCCAGACCACAUGCAAAAAUGCAGCAGGUGUACAAGGAAACAUAACUGUAGAAGUAGCUGAAGAGUUACUGCGCAUUUCUGUGUCAUCUACAUGCCAUGAAAGUCUUAAAAUCAAUUGUCAAUUUCUACAAAAUACCCGCUUGGAUUUGAACUGUGAUUGCAUUAUGUCAUGAGAAAGAAUGAACAUCUUAACAAUGAUGAGUCUCUCAACUCAUGAAUAAGCUCGAAGUUGUUUGAUCGUCUGAAGGCUUCUUCUCUCAACUCGUCAAAGUCAUUCUCCGCCCAGCUUUGUUCCGUUGCUGGUUUACUCUUCUAAGCUAUUUGUAACAAGAGCCUAAAAACUGGGUUUCCUUCAUUGAACUUCAUGCCUCUCUGGUUAUUGAAGAUGGCAAGCGAGGGGCACUCUGGAUACAGGUAUAAAAUGAAGAGAAUGUCUCCUGGACCUAAUUGCCACAAUGAGAUACUACAGUUUAUUCGCACCAGGGUGGAAAAAAAGGGAAUAGUGUUCAAAUCACUGAUGGAACUGGAUGACGCUUCUAUUUCCAGAAUAUUCCCUG